AGAUCGGAUUGAAAUGGAUUUAACAAAUGAGUGCUGGCGUCACCGCUAGGCGGCCACGCCGCGGGAGAUUUUCUCGUGAGUCGAGGGCGGCCACAGUCGUUAUAUCUAGGUGCCACCGCGGCGGACACCCCAGCUCAUACUAACGGUAGUGACAAUUCAGCAGAAAGAAGAAUUAACUUAUUUAUUUUUUAUAUAUUU
Molecule: long non-coding RNA, 198 nt
Organism: Solenopsis invicta (red fire ant)
Lineage: Eukaryota; Metazoa; Arthropoda; Insecta; Hymenoptera; Formicidae
Exons: 2
Source: RefSeq, a predicted model, not a curated record